Molecule: ribosomal RNA, 2900 nt
Filed under: Escherichia coli
Lineage: Bacteria; Pseudomonadati; Pseudomonadota; Gammaproteobacteria; Enterobacterales; Enterobacteriaceae
Description: bacterial LSU rRNA
Rfam family: Bacterial large subunit ribosomal RNA
Source: RNAcentral
UUAAGCGACUAAGCGUACACGGUGGAUGCCCUGGCAGUCAGAGGCGAUGAAGGACGUGCUAAUCUGCGAUAAGCGUCGGUAAGGUGAUAUGAACCGUUAUAACCGGCGAUUUCCGAAUGGGAAACCCAGUGUGUUUCGACACACUAUCAUUAACUGAAUCCAUAGGUUAAUGAGGCGAACCGGGGGAACUGAAACAUCUAAGUACCCCGAGGAAAAGAAAUCAACCGAGAUUCCCCCAGUAGCGGCGAGCGAACGGGGAGCAGCCCAGAGCCUGAAUCAGUGUGUGUGUUAGUGGAAGCGUCUGGAAAGGCGCGCGAUACAGGGUGACAGCCCCGUACACAAAAAUGCACAUGCUGUGAGCUCGAUGAGUAGGGCGGGACACGUGGUAUCCUGUCUGAAUAUGGGGGGACCAUCCUCCAAGGCUAAAUACUCCUGACUGACCGAUAGUGAACCAGUACCGUGAGGGAAAGGCGAAAAGAACCCCGGCGAGGGGAGUGAAAAAGAACCUGAAACCGUGUACGUACAAGCAGUGGGAGCACGCUUAGGCGUGUGACUGCGUACCUUUUGUAUAAUGGGUCAGCGACUUAUAUUCUGUAGCAAGGUUAACCGAAUAGGGGAGCCGAAGGGAAACCGAGUCUUAACUGGGCGUUAAGUUGCAGGGUAUAGACCCGAAACCCGGUGAUCUAGCCAUGGGCAGGUUGAAGGUUGGGUAACACUAACUGGAGGACCGAACCGACUAAUGUUGAAAAAUUAGCGGAUGACUUGUGGCUGGGGGUGAAAGGCCAAUCAAACCGGGAGAUAGCUGGUUCUCCCCGAAAGCUAUUUAGGUAGCGCCUCGUGAAUUCAUCUCCGGGGGUAGAGCACUGUUUCGGCAAGGGGGUCAUCCCGACUUACCAACCCGAUGCAAACUGCGAAUACCGGAGAAUGUUAUCACGGGAGACACACGGCGGGUGCUAACGUCCGUCGUGAAGAGGGAAACAACCCAGACCGCCAGCUAAGGUCCCAAAGUCAUGGUUAAGUGGGAAACGAUGUGGGAAGGCCCAGACAGCCAGGAUGUUGGCUUAGAAGCAGCCAUCAUUUAAAGAAAGCGUAAUAGCUCACUGGUCGAGUCGGCCUGCGCGGAAGAUGUAACGGGGCUAAACCAUGCACCGAAGCUGCGGCAGCGACGCUUAUGCGUUGUUGGGUAGGGGAGCGUUCUGUAAGCCUGCGAAGGUGUGCUGUGAGGCAUGCUGGAGGUAUCAGAAGUGCGAAUGCUGACAUAAGUAACGAUAAAGCGGGUGAAAAGCCCGCUCGCCGGAAGACCAAGGGUUCCUGUCCAACGUUAAUCGGGGCAGGGUGAGUCGACCCCUAAGGCGAGGCCGAAAGGCGUAGUCGAUGGGAAACAGGUUAAUAUUCCUGUACUUGGUGUUACUGCGAAGGGGGGACGGAGAAGGCUAUGUUGGCCGGGCGACGGUUGUCCCGGUUUAAGCGUGUAGGCUGGUUUUCCAGGCAAAUCCGGAAAAUCAAGGCUGAGGUGUGAUGACGAGGCACUACGGUGCUGAAGCAACAAAUGCCCUGCUUCCAGGAAAAGCCUCUAAGCAUCAGGUAACAUCAAAUCGUACCCCAAACCGACACAGGUGGUCAGGUAGAGAAUACCAAGGCGCUUGAGAGAACUCGGGUGAAGGAACUAGGCAAAAUGGUGCCGUAACUUCGGGAGAAGGCACGCUGAUAUGUAGGUGAAGUCCCUCGCGGAUGGAGCUGAAAUCAGUCGAAGAUACCAGCUGGCUGCAACUGUUUAUUAAAAACACAGCACUGUGCAAACACGAAAGUGGACGUAUACGGUGUGACGCCUGCCCGGUGCCGGAAGGUUAAUUGAUGGGGUUAGCGCAAGCGAAGCUCUUGAUCGAAGCCCCGGUAAACGGCGGCCGUAACUAUAACGGUCCUAAGGUAGCGAAAUUCCUUGUCGGGUAAGUUCCGACCUGCACGAAUGGCGUAAUGAUGGCCAGGCUGUCUCCACCCGAGACUCAGUGAAAUUGAACUCGCUGUGAAGAUGCAGUGUACCCGCGGCAAGACGGAAAGACCCCGUGAACCUUUACUAUAGCUUGACACUGAACAUUGAGCCUUGAUGUGUAGGAUAGGUGGGAGGCUUAGAAGUGUGGACGCCAGUCUGCAUGGAGCCGACCUUGAAAUACCACCCUUUAAUGUUUGAUGUUCUAACGUUGACCCGUAAUCCGGGUUGCGGACAGUGUCUGGUGGGUAGUUUGACUGGGGCGGUCUCCUCCUAAAGAGUAACGGAGGAGCACGAAGGUUGGCUAAUCCUGGUCGGACAUCAGGAGGUUAGUGCAAUGGCAUAAGCCAGCUUGACUGCGAGCGUGACGGCGCGAGCAGGUGCGAAAGCAGGUCAUAGUGAUCCGGUGGUUCUGAAUGGAAGGGCCAUCGCUCAACGGAUAAAAGGUACUCCGGGGAUAACAGGCUGAUACCGCCCAAGAGUUCAUAUCGACGGCGGUGUUUGGCACCUCGAUGUCGGCUCAUCACAUCCUGGGGCUGAAGUAGGUCCCAAGGGUAUGGCUGUUCGCCAUUUAAAGUGGUACGCGAGCUGGGUUUAGAACGUCGUGAGACAGUUCGGUCCCUAUCUGCCGUGGCGCUGGAGAACUGAGGGGGGCUGCUCCUAGUACGAGAGGACCGGAGUGGACGCAUCACUGGUGUUCGGGUUGUCAUGCCAAUGGCACUGCCCGGUAGCUAAAUGCGGAAGAGAUAAGUGCUGAAAGCAUCUAAGCACGAAACUUGCCCCGAGAUGAGUUCUCCCUGACCCUUUAAGGGUCCUGAAGGAACGUUGAAGACGACGACGUUGAUAGGCCGGGUGUGUAAGCGCAGCGAUGCGUUGAGCUAACCGGUACUAAUGAACCGUGAGGCUUAACCUU